Molecule: ribosomal RNA, 933 nt
Filed under: Triticum aestivum (bread wheat)
Lineage: Eukaryota; Viridiplantae; Streptophyta; Magnoliopsida; Poales; Poaceae
Description: partial small subunit ribosomal RNA
Source: RNAcentral
AUGGACCACAAAGCCACUGCCGCACGAUGUGGCCUAGAGCAUAUAUUAGUCGAUGAAACCGCUGAGCCCAAGGCCCUGCCAUUAUCACUUUUGGAGGCCAUCACUGAGAAUUUCUCCAAUGAGCUGGUGAUCGGACGCGGUGGAUUUGCAGUUGUUUAUAAGGGAAAACUUGGCAAUGGGGAGGUCGCGGUGAAGAGACUGUCCAAAGCUUAUAUGCAUGAAACAGAAUUUGACCGGGAGAUUGAAUGCCUGAUGCGGGCAAAACACAAAAAUAUAGUAAGAUUUCUUGGAUAUUAUCAUGACAGACAAAGAAAUAUGGAAAUAUACGACGAGAAACUUAUCAUGGCAGAUGUCCACCAAAGAUUGUUCUGCUUCGAGUAUAUACCAAAAGGGAGUCUUGAUAAGUAUAUCAAUGGACAACGUGAGUGGGAAACAUGCUACAAAAUAAUCAAAGGGAUCUGUGACGGUUUGCAAUACCUGCAUGACAAUCGCAUUAUUCAUUUGGAUCUGAAACCCGCCAAUAUACUGCUCGACGAUGACAUGGUGCCGAAAAUAACUGAUUUUGGCCUGUCAAGACGCUUAGAUGAAAAUCAAAGUCAAGUGCUUACCAAAACUAUAUCAGGAACAACGGGAUAUUUGGCACCAAAACGUUAUGAAGGGAGUGGAAUCACACCCAGGGCCGACUUGUAUAGUCUUGGUAUUAUUAUCAUGGAAAUACUGACCGGGCAGAGGGGGCAUCAAGCAACUGAGGAUGUGGUUGAAAGUUGGAGUGAUAGGUUGGAGAGAUCAAAACAAGACACACACUACGAAGAAAUACGUGUAUGCCACGAGAUAGCUUUAAAUUGCACACAGUUUAAUCCAAAGGACAGACCAGCUAGUGCACAAGACAUAAUUGACAGGCUUCAUGAAAUAGAAAGUAUCCAGGUAUGUUGA